UACGGAGGAUGCGAGCGUUAUCCGGAUUCAUUGGGUUUAAAGGGUGCGUAGGCGGAUUGAUAAGUCAGUGGUGAAAUCCUGCAGCUUAACUGUAGCAUUGCCAUUGAUACUGUUGGUCUUGAGUUUGGUUAAGGUAGGCGGAAUGUGUAAUGUAGCGGUGAAAUGCUUAGAUAUUACCCAGAACACCAAUUGCGAAGGCAGCUUACUGGACCGAUACUGACGCUGAUGCACGAAAGCGUGGGGAGCAAACAGG
This 253-nucleotide ribosomal RNA is filed under the name uncultured bacterium. Its description in RNAcentral is "partial 16S ribosomal RNA". It matches the Rfam family "Bacterial small subunit ribosomal RNA", at positions 524 to 776 of the family's 1533-position model. The record is from RNAcentral.